Molecule: ribosomal RNA, 453 nt
Filed under: uncultured bacterium
Lineage: Bacteria
Description: bacterial SSU rRNA
Rfam family: Bacterial small subunit ribosomal RNA
Source: RNAcentral
AACUAACGCUGGCGGCGCGCCUAAUACAUGCAAGUCGAACGAGUAGUAAUACUAGUGGCGCACGGGAGAGUAACACGUAGGUCAUCUUCCUCGGAGAGAAGAAUAACCAGUCGAAAGAUUGGCUAAUACUUCGUAGGACCACAGAGACGAAUGUCUCAGAGGUGAAAGGAGUAAUCCGCUUCGAGAUGAGCCUGCGUCCCAUUAGCUAGUUGGUGAGGUAACGGCUCACCAAGGCAAAGAAGGGUAGCUGGUCUGAGAGGACGGCCAGCCUCACUGGAACUGAAACACGGUCCAGACUCCUACGGGAGGCAGCAGUAGGGAAUAUUGCACAAUGGGCGAAAGCCUGAUGCAGCGACGCCGCGUGAGCGAAGAAGGACUUCGGUUUGUAAAGCUCUGCUCUUAGGGAAUAAGAAAGUGAAUGUACCUAAGGAGAAAGGGACGGCUAACUUCGUG